AUUUAAAAUCUUUUGAAAUAUUCAAAAUGUAAUUGGUUUACUUUUAAUUUUAACAAUUUGGCAUUCUAAAAUUUAUUCGAUAGUUUAAUAUAAUUUUUUUCUUCGUAUGGAAUUACUAAUUGAACAAAACUGAUUAUAUAUAGAGAGAGAGAAUGCAAAAUACAAUAUCUAGGUGAAUUUUUUUUUGUUAAAUAGAAAUGAUCACAUGCUCCACAACUUCUUCUGGGGCAUGUAUUCUUCUUUUUAUCUUGGCAAAAGAAGAAAAACACAAUAUUUAAAUAAACUUCUUUUUGUUUACUUUUUUUUAACUCUAAGUUUCUUUGCUUUAGUUUUCUACUUAACUGUUUCAUUAUAAUUUUACUUAAUUAUGAUAUAAAAUUAAUCGUUAACCGCAGCGAAGCGCGGGUUCUAUACUAGUUAAACUUAAGCAUCAGAAUUGAAAAAAGAAAGAAUCAAUUUUCGAUAUUUAUUAUUUUCUUCGGAUGUGAGAGUAGAAGUUGAGUUAGAAUACUCUCAAAAGCACCAAGGGGUUGGUGCUUUUGAGUUUUUAGCUAUUGGAUGGAGAGAUGUAGGGUUGAGAUGAUGGUGGAAGGUGGUGACAGGUGGAAUAGUGUUUGAUCCAAAGGUUAUUAGUAAUCAAUAAAUAGAUCCAAGGGCUAGAAACUCAAAAGCACCAAGUGGUUGGUGCUUUCGAGAGUAUUCUAGCUCAAUUCAUGAGAAUAGUAAAGAAUAGAUUUCUUUGUGGUUUUUU
Molecule: long non-coding RNA, 751 nt
Filed under: Ananas comosus (pineapple)
Lineage: Eukaryota; Viridiplantae; Streptophyta; Magnoliopsida; Poales; Bromeliaceae
Description: long non-coding RNA (ACOM_LNC016646)
Source: RNAcentral